Long non-coding RNA from Equus caballus (horse), 20497 nucleotides. The record is from Ensembl. NCBI's taxonomy places the organism in Eukaryota, Metazoa, Chordata, Mammalia, Perissodactyla, Equidae.
AGAGAAAACUAUAAAUAUAAAACAUUAAUUAUAAUAUAAAUUAACAAAUGUAUGCAAUUCAAAUACAAUAUUCUAUUACAAAUUGUUGGCAUAUAAAUUCCCCAAAUAAGCAAUAUGAAAUGAAAAGUAUUUUAUGUAAAUUGAAAAGAAAAUAUUAUUUUUAAACAAGUGGAUUUUAUAAAAUAGUGCAUUAAGUUCUCCCUGAUUCAGCUGAGGGAUCUUUUUGAGAAUGUUUUCCCCAGCUGGAGAAGAAAUCUCUUCAUGGCUUCAUGGCAUAGUGUUGCUAAACUUAGUGUGAGUGUACUGUAAGCCAGAACCUUCAAGCUCAGCAAUCUUACAGUUUCUGCCUCUUAAGUAGCUAGGAACAUAGGCAUGUGCUGUCAUACCCAGUCAUUCAUGGUACAUGUGUAACUGGGGGAGAAUUUCGUUUGCAACCACCAUUGAAUUUUAGGAGAUGAUUCCUGGGAGCGUCAGGCACUCAUUUACCGAGCACUAUCUUGAGCUUUGGCAAAUAGGUUUGAAGGUGGAAGGCAGGGCAACACUGAAUGGCUUUACAUAAUAACUGGAGUGAGGGAAAUUCAGAAUUAACGACAUAGGAAGCCAUGAGGCUAACCCCUGUGGACAGAGGCAGGAUAGAGGAAUGCCCAUUACUCAUGAUUUGUUUUCAGUGCCCUCGAGUCGAUUUUGGAACUCUGCCCGGUCUUUUUAUGCCAUUCUCUCACCUUCUGGUGCAAUUCACAGGCUUUUCAUGGCCUAUUUUUUCAGAAGUAGGUGGCUAGGUCCUUCUUCCUAGUCUGUCUAGCCUGCAAGUUCCACUGAAACCUGUCCACCAUGGGUGAUCCUGCUGGCAUUUGAAAUACCAGUGGCAUAACUUUCAGCAACAUGCAGCCACCAGAGUAUGACAACCAACCGAUGAGUGGUGUGGUUCCCUGACAGGGAAACCAACCCAGGCUGUGUUGUGAGAGCACCCAAUCUUAACCACUAGACCACCAGGUCUGGCUUUAGUGAUGAUGGUGAAGAAAGAGGACUUGGGAGAGCAGAUAUGCAGGCUUAAUGUUUUAAAGUAGUUUGUUUUGGUGUGCGCUCAGAGCAAACAAGAGUGACUAGAGACAAGAAACAUGACAUAGGAAUUGCCUGGUCAAGUUCCAAGUUUACAACGUUAAAACUCAAACAUCAAGUCCAUACCAUUUUGUGUUCUCACAGUGGAGCAUCUAGUCUGUGCCUUUCUCUAUUGGGUAUAGUGUCAUGGAACACUCUUCGUAAAUAAAAUUAUUUAGAAUUUUAUCUCAAUUCUGGAAGCACAAUUCUCUCUAAAAUUUUUUCCAUAAAGUCUGAGCUUUGAAGGUAAAUUCUCCUCAGUCUUUUGGAACCUGAUUUGACUUAGUAUUUGGGUGCUGCUCUGAGUGAAAAUAUUUAAUUUCAAGUUUGGAAAUAACUAGUUAUGUUAUCAGCUUCUUAAACCUCAAAAAGAGUAAUAUAAUGCAGAUCAACACUCACUUAGGUAUACAACAUGACCAAAAUAAAAAGAAAUCAAUUAUUAUAUUGAUGAUUUCUCAAAGUGGUGAUGUUUCUAAUUGUGUCGUUCUCAACAUUUAUUAGCUAUUGUUGCUGUUAUUACUAUUAUUUUUACAAGAUGUUCCAGAUUCAUCUUUUAUCUUUUCUGUCCCAGACUGAAAAGAAAUACACUUGACUUUGGCUCUUACAAAUUUUUUAAAAACAAACAUUUUUCCAGUAAACAUAAUUUUUCAAGAGUAAAUAAGUGUAGUAAUAAGUACGUCACUUUGUGACAGAAACAGACUAGUGGACGGUAUUUAAAAAGGAAUUGAAGUCCAUUCUCUUCCCUUUCCCUGCCUAAAUACAUCAAUCCAAAGGCAAUUAGGAGGUGCUAAGCAAAGGAAAGUUCAUGCUUGAGGGGAAGAGUGAGGGAGCCUGACUGGGGAGAGGAGCAUGUUUCUGAGAGGUGAUAGCAUCCUCACAUGGGUCAUCCCCUUGGAAAGGUAGCCCUGUGAGUUAUUGGAGCCUGAAUGGGCUUAGGGGGUUGCCCACAAGAGAGAAUGGGCUGAUGUGUAGUUUGGGAGCCUUAUCAGGGUAUCAGAGUGCCCCACGGAGUGGUGGCCGAGCUUAUGGAGUCAGAGCCCAAGUGGCGUGAUGGAAGCAUCCAGCAGAGAGCAGCGCAGCGGUAGUCUGGGAGCUCCAAGGGGGCAGAGGGUGUCCACAAGGAGGAGUGGCUUGCCAGGAGGCAGGUUGUGAUUUAAGCAUCUGCGUAAGAGAGCGCCAGCUCAUGGUGUCAGACCAGAGCAGGGGGAAGAGGGUAGUUCUUGCAGAUGGGCUACCUUCAAUGAGGUGUUGGAACUUAUGAAGAAUGAGGGAGGCAUCUACUCAGGGGGCAGCAGGACUGACUAGCACGUUGGCUAUGUCAAAGAUCUAUGCUUUUUUUCAAAGGAGGGUAUGCACAGAAGGAGCUGUUCUAGUUUAGUAUCCUGAACUAUAGAAAUAAAAGGAAAAUUCUUUUAUCACUUAUGACAAGCAUGCAUUAUAUGUGGAGUAAAUCAUAUUGUUUAUUUACAUCUAGGAUAAAUACUUAUUCUCUACCUUUAAAUACACACUUAUUGACCACCCACCAUGUUUUUGGCACUUUAUUUGGGGUCAUUUCCUUUAAUCAUCACAACAAUGUUUUUUUUUAAUUCCUAUUUUACAAAUGGUGAGGGUGAAGUCUAGGGAGAUUAACACAUGCACUCUGUUCUCAAAGAGAUCCAUAAGGCAGACAGACACAUAGAAUUUAGUACCAUACUUUUAAAAGUGUAUUAAAUCAAUUUCCAUGGUGUCAUGUGGAAGGCAUAUUCAAGUCUGCAAUAGUUUUCAAACAUUUUUCUUUAAGCAAUACAAGUUUUUCUUUAAAAGAAAUGUUUGGGUAAGCACUGUAAGUAAAUCAAAUAAAAGACUUGUGCUGGUUAAAGUCCAGAGGUUCUCAAUCCUGGUCCCAUAUUAGAUCUAUCUGGGAAAUUGUUAAAUGCCUAGGCCUACCAUCAGAACAGACCCUCUGGGAGUGGAGCCCAGGCAUCAGUACAUCUAAAACAUUCUCCAGAUGAUUUUACUGCAAAGCCAGGGAUAAGCUGCAUUGUCACAGGUGAUGAGAAGCACUGCAGGUGACUGCUGUGUCAGGAGUAUGGAGGAUGACUGAGGGAGAAAAACUAGAGUAUGGGAAAGCAGGUGACACUAGUGAAAUAGUCCUAGACAUAGAAGUCAAUUUUAAUGACCUUCUCAAACAAAGGUUUAAUUUAUUAUAGCUAUGUAUUUUUCUAUGUGACCCAUAAACAUAUUAUGUAUAUUAUGACUUCCUGACAUCCCAAAAUCACAGACAGAUUGUGAGUGUCUGUUUAAGAACCUAGAAGUAAAAGACAAAUUUGAAUGUGUUACAGUGCAGAGAAAAGCCAGAUGAACAAAUUAAUUUAACUGCUUUUCUGGUACUAAAUGAAUCUAAGGAAAUUGACAGGUAAAUAGUCAUGGAAUAUUCUUUACCUCUGUUUGAGAGCUCUGAAUGCUUCACAGAGUACUUAGCUAUGUCAAAUACUUUGAAUGAGCUUGCCUGUUCGAUGUUCCCUAAAUAGGAGUUAAGCCAAGAAUGAUGAAUAAUGAGUAAGAAGGCUGGCUUUUAUAACAAAUAGUCAUAGAGUUGAAUGAAAUGUAAAUACUUCCCAACAAGAGCUGUAUUAUUGAAAUUUUUGAAGAUAAUCUUGGAAAGAAAAUAUUUUUAAAAGUCUAGGAAAACACCAUUUAGAAUGAUGGACCAUAAAAAUGGCUAUGCUACUUUAUUCUCAAUAAGCCUAUAUUCUAUUAAACUUUGACUUUGACUGUGGUUACAUACAUUAAUUAAUCAUUUUCCCACAAGAUGACGAAAAAUUAUAUCUUAAGUCAUGACAUAGUAAAGAGUUAAAAGUGUCAAUUUUAGAAUAAGAUAAGCUUGGGGUUGAAUUCUGAAUUGUGGCCCUUCCACUUGGAGGUUGUAUACCUCUGAAAUGGUGUUUAGUAUUUCACAGCCCAGUUUUCUCAUCUGUAAAAUAGUGUUAAAUGUGAUACUUACCUCACAGGAUUGUUGCAGAGACUGAAUUAGUUGACACAUGUAAAGUGUCAUAAACCUAGUCACUAAAACAUAGUCACCUUCAAUAAAUGUUAUGCUAUUAUUAUUGUACUAAUUCAACAUGCCAAUAAUGGAAUUCGGAGGAAAACAAGAGACUCCACGGGAUAGAAUAUACUCUAAAACAACUAGGAUGUUCUCCCAGAGUCAACAAAGUAAAGCAAAUUGAUAGAAAAUCAGCAUUCUCUAUUCAGCGAUCAUUUAAGUUCCAGAGGCAGUACGUAUUCCAUAGAUCUUUUAUUUGAUUUGAACUUUUAGAGAAUUAUAAGAAUUAGUGACCACUAUUGGCACAAGAUUAGAAAGCAGCCUGGAACCUAUAAGAUUUGAGGAAGUUGGUCUCUAGUAUGUAAAGCAGCAAACCUCCCAGACAUCUUUGGAGAACUGAACUCUUGGGAAUCCUUCUCACCAGAUUCAUAGCACUCUCGUUUCUGGGUCUUAUUUGAGACACUAAAUAAUUUACAUUGCCAUUAAAACUUUUUUAAAAUUUUGUCUGACUACUUCUAAUUUUGAUUUUGCAUGCUGCCACUAUAAUUCUAUUUUGUUUGUGUACAUUUAGCACUGUACUAUACGUUCUUUGAAAAUGGUGAAUGAAACAGAUGUAGGCUUUUCCCUCAGGGGAUUAACGUCUAAUAGGUAAAAUAAGUAUUAAAAAAGAAAAAAGUACUGGCUGACAAAAAUAAGUGUCAGCCUGUUUUAGUCAGCCAAUUGUUGUUUGUCUUUUCCCUCUCGUCAGUUAGAGAGAGAAAAACCCCACUGAAGAUCUUUACGAGCACACCAUAUUCAAAGCCAUCUGAAAACCUGACAUGGAGGAUUCUGAUCAACCAUAUUCCAGAAGGGAGCCCAUGACUGAAAAGCAUGCUCAGAGGUCUGAAAAUACAGCCACUGCCCUGUCUAUAGCUCAGUGCCCGUGUAAGUGCAUGCUAUGGCGUAGAUUCACUCAACUAAGGUACAGUAUAUCCAACCAAUUUUGGUACAUAGGUGCUGUGAAGCUGCAUUUUCGUGAGAGCUACCAAUGGUUCAAUUAAAUAAGAGAGAUUCUCAUGGGAAAGAAAAACAGUUCCUUUCUUAGGAAACAGAUCACUCCCUAAAUUCAGUUUGGAAGUUUAAUGUCAAAGUGGUAUCAAAGCGAAAAUUAUGCUGGACAAAGUUAAACAGUCAAGGAAGACUUUUUUCAAGACUAUUACAAUAGGGUAGAGAUGGAUCAAAGGCCAUCUAUGUUUGGUAAUCGGUCUUACCCAAAGGAAAAGUAAACUUUCUCAUUUCUGCAUAACAAAAAGUAGUUUUUCAACAUGGGGCAAGGUGCCCACUGAGGUUAGGCUCCCACCCUUCCACAGACUGGGAGAAGGAAUCUUGAUGAUUACGUUUCAGAAGUAUGGCUCUCAAUUCCUUGAGAAAGACAGUCCUGGGUUGUAGAACUGCCAAGAGCCUUUUUAAAGGAUCUAUAUCUCAAAAGGGUAGAGAACGAAUUUGAAAAUACAGCUUUUCUAAAGCAAAUGCUCUAAGAAAGGGAAGGUCAGCGGUCCAGAGGCAGAAAGAAGCCUGCUUAAAGUUUGGUUAAGCUGAGGGAAGCAUUAAGCCCUUCUUGGUCAGUGGGCAAUGACAGAACAGAACUUUUAAUAGCAAAAGAAUCUCCCUUUAGUGUGAUGCUACAAGUCAACCAUCAUAAAUCAUGAAGGUAGAAAUUUUGUGAAGUCAGAGAUUUUGUGAUUAUGGUUUAGAACUUAAUUAGGUCACCCUUAAAGAGUUUUAAAUUACCAGAACUUUAUACUAUACUGUCUCACCUCAAAACCAAUUUUUUCCCUCACAAACGAAAAGGAAUAUUUAAAAUGGCUUUCAUUUCAAUGAAAGAAAUCCUAAAAAAAGUCUUGCUUAAAAAACCUAUGUGAACGUCUGAAUUUAAAAUAACAAAUUAUUUUAUCAUGUCAUUGUUAAUCAUAUUUCAAAAGGGACCUUUGUUUUAUCCAAUAAUUUAACACGGAAUUUGCUGAAUAAAGAAAAUAGAUAUUAUGCAAUUUAUGUAUCGAACUUGAGUUCUACAAAACCCUUUGCAAACACUUCCAAAAAGGUGAGUUAAACCCAUAAAAGUGAUUCUUAUAUCUAGCCGUGCAAUCAAAUCACAUUUGGAGCUUUUAAAAAACACAAAUGCUAGGCUGCCCUGACAGACCUUCAGAAUGAGAAUCUCUAAGUGAGGUUUAUCUUUUUAAAAAUUCUUUUAAAGAUGUGCUCUGCAGACCAGCAUCUCCUGGGAGCUUCUUAGAAAUGCAGAAUCUUGGGCUUUACCACAUCUGCUGAUUUGGAAUCUGCAUUUGGACUAGAACUUGAUUGUUGACAUGUACCUAAAGUCUGCUCUAUAAGAGACUUUGCUGCACAGACAGGGUGAGAGGCACUCACCAAGUUAGGAUGAACUAGCCUCCCCUCUAUCAAAGCAGCGUCUCCAUAGAUGUGGCUUCUAAGUGUUGAGUUUUGCUUUCUAUUGAAGACACACCUUUAGAGGAAAAAUUUAGCACAGAUUUUUGCACCUAUAGACAACCAAAAAAAGAAAAUACAGAGAAAGAUGGUAAGAUAUUUACAUUAAUAUCUGGAACUUUUUAAACUUUUAAGAAUCUUAAAUGAGGAUUUAUUUGGAGAGAGCUAGCUGAAGGGAGCAAUCCAUUUGCAUGGGAAUUAGACUCUCCAAAGAUCCCUGAUUGACUUCGGCCUGGGGAAAGCUACCUCUUUCAAAUUCCCUAAGGAUACACUCAGGUGUUAAGGUCUAUAAUAUUGUCUCUCUUAACAGCUACUUAAAAACAAUUAGGAAACCUUAAAUGACUUCUGCUCCUCUGGGGAGAAAAACUUUAUUCAAUUAGUAGUAGGUAGAAAUAAGAUUUGUUAGUUUGCCAUAUUUUCCUUAGGCAAAUUAUAACUUUGUGUUUAGUUUUUUUCACUGUGUGCAUGUGUGUGUAUAAAUAUUCCUGAAGCUUAGAAUUUUAGAAUGUAAAGUAAAAAGGAAGAUGAAAUUUUGCUCAAUAAUGAUUAUUUCAAUAUUAUCACUCUAUUUACCUUUCUGUGCUCUACUUUUGAGCUCUCAACUGAAAGGUUAUAUCAUUCAUCUGACGAUGUAUUUAUAGCAAGUCAAUGGAAGCAAUUUUCAAAGAAAGUAACAAAUUUUCUUCUAAAAAUUCGAAGAAUUAAGAUUUCCUUCUGGUUUCCAUUCAGAGAGGCAGGGAGCUCAAAGAGGGAUGUUCUCAAACUUACGUUAAAAAAAAGGCAGACGAGGGGCCGGCCCAGCGGCCCAGCGGUUAAGUGCACAUGUUCCGCUUCGGCAGCCUGGGAUACACCGGUUUGGAUCCUGGGUACAGACAUGGCACCACUUGGCAAGCCAUGCUGUGGUAGGCGUCCCACAUAUAAAGUAGAGGAAGAUGGGCACGGAUAUUAGCUCAGGGCUAGUCUUCCUCAGCAAAAAAAGAGGAUUGGCAGCAGAUGUUAGCUCAGGGCUAGUCUUCUUCUUCUUCAAAAAAAGCCAGACAAAUAACAAAUUCAUAAUCUUUCUUGAAUCCAUUGGAAUGCUGAGGUUGCACAGCAACAAGUAACCCAUAAUCUAAGGAGGGAUAGGCAAGUAGAGAAAAGGCUGGAGCACUAGCUUUCUUGGGCAAGACAUAGUCAGCAGUAGGAGGAGUUCAGCUAGGGGAUUUGGCACACUGAUGGGCAUGCUGGUGAGAGGUGAAGCUCGUGAGGGCUACAAAUAUAAGAGAUGUCCUCGUCUUCUUGCAGGACUUUUGCCCACAAACUCCCCUGGAUGCUCACAAAAUAAUAGGGAGAAUUCUGAGAAUGUCUCCUUCAUGGUACAGAACAGGAAUUGGGGGCAAUAGCAGCUGCCAAUGGGAUUGGGGGAGGGGAACAUUGCUGAGAUAGUCAAGCCCAUCUCCCUCACGAAACAACAAACACUGUUGCUGUUAGGGCACUGGUGAGAAUUGCUUGCAGGUGAGGGGAAAAUUCUAUUUGUAGGAGAAAGUCAGCAGAAAUAUGGUGUCUACCUAAGACUCAGGCUAUGUUACAACGACGUAGAAUACCCCUGCUCCUCCACCACUAAGAGAGAAUAAAGAGAAUCUUGCUGGGGUGGGGGAAGGGAUGAAUAAACAGAGCAUAGAGGAUUUUUAGGGCAGCGAAAACUCUGUAUGAUAGUAUAAUGGUGGAUAUGUGUUAUUAUACAUUUGUCCAAACUCUCAGGAUGUACAACACCAUGAGUAAACCGUAAUGUAAACCACGGACUUUGGUGAUUGUUAUGUGUCAAUGUAAUUUUAUCUUUGCUAAAAAUGUGUACCAUUCUGGUGAGUGAUGUUGAUAAUGGGGGAGGCUAUUUGUGUAGGGGAGCAGGGGUAGAUGGGAAAUAUCUGUACAUUCCUCUUAAUUUUGCUGUGAACCUAAAAGUACCCUAAAAAAUAGUUCUAAAACAAAAAAGGAAUCUUGCUAGAGACAGAUCAUCUCUGAGGUGUGAUGCAGAGAAAAUACCUAAAAGCCAACAGUGGAACAGAUAUUGAGAAAAAAAAUACAAACAAAACAAAACAAAAAUAUCUGCAAAAUUAGCCCCUACUCUAAACAAAAAGUAAUUAUUUAGGGGAACUUGAAGCCUGUGGUGCACUAAGGGUAACCAUAGCAACAACAAACUCUUAAUUAGAGUAAAUCAAAUCUGUUCACUAAAGGCCUUGGUGAAAGAAAGGUACGCCCAUUUCCAGAUAUAAAGCUACUUACCACAAUCUUUACUAUUCUGUACAAAAAGUCCAGCUUUCAACAACAACAACAAAAAAUUAUGAAGCCUAUGAAAAGACAAGCUAAAGCCACACACUGGGCAAAGCAAUCAUGAUGCUAAUGUUGGAACUAUAUGACAGAGAAUUUAAGAUAACUGAGGUUAACACUUUAAAGGUUCUCACGGAAAAGGUAGACAGCACGCAUGAUCAAAUGGUUAAUUUCGCCAGAGAGAUGGAAACUAUUAGAAAGAAUCCAAUGGAAAUGCUAGAAGUGAACAACACAGUAACAAAGAUGAACGCCUUGGAUGGGAUCAUGAGUACAUUCAGCACAGUGGAAGAAAUAAUUGGUGAACAUCAAGACAGGUCAACAGAAGUUACGCAAACUGAAACACACACAAAAAUCUGAGUUUGUACUGAUCACAAAAUUUUGUUUUAUCCUUGUAACGAAGACAGGAGUGAGUUGACAUCAGCCUUAGGAGCAAGUUGUUUGAAAAGAAUCCAUCGCUGAUGGUUGACUUUCAUGCGCCUGCUUAUCAAAGUGGGUAGUCAUUGAUUAGGAAGAUUUAAAACCGGUUCUAAUGUUUACAUACUAGCAUGGCUGCAGAAAAUUAUGGGGACUUUAUUUAUAAAUUCUCAAUUCUGUGUGUGAUUCUAAUUGCUGACUUGGCCUAAGUUUAACCAAGAAUCCAAUAGACCUGAAAAUGUUCAAUAGAAUUUUUUUUUCCAGGUUGGCAUAGCUAGUCUUCAUGCUAAUCUAUACUUCUACUUGCUGAAUAUUUCAAUGUUUUUGAGACACUGAGAUAAAUCAAAGCAGAUUUCCAGUGUAAUACCAGGUUUUUAUUUUUUAUAACUAUGGGACAGAUGUUCUGGAGUUAUUCAGCCUCUGCCUCAGAAGAUCAAAGCCUCCAAUAUUUUGAUCAAAUAUUGUUUAGGAUUCCUCUCCCCACUACUAUAUAUCACAGACUCAGUCAAAAACAUUAAUUUCUGUAGUACUAUUCCAAAUUUACAGAGUAGUUCUAUUGCAGACAUUAAAAAUUAAAUUAAAUGUGAGAAGAAACAGCAAAUGACGUUUGAUGCAUUAUGGUGAUGCAGCUUAGUGUGUGGGAUUUUAAUUUUGAAAAUAUUGUAUGAGUGAGUUGUGGGAGAAUAAAAAUUAUCUAUUGCAGACAGAAUUCAUCUCACGAUAGUGUCUAUUUAUGCAAUUACUUUUGUCAGAAACUGUAAUUGACAAUAAUUUGCUUGCUAAUCUAAUUAAACUAUGAACAAAUGGUGUAAGAAAUGGUGAAGAAUUCUGGGUAGAGCCUUGGGCUCUUCUUGAUGGAUAUUACUGAUGGUACCAAGCACAUCUUUCUGAGUUAUUAUUCUCUGCAUUGGAUGCUGAAGAGAGAAUCAAAAAAUCAUUUUUGCAGUCGUUACAAGUUUAAACUCCCAAACAGUCUACUAGUGAUUUAAAAUAAGACAGUGUUUAAGGUGUGAUCAUAGGAAAACAAUAAAAAUAGGAGGAGUUAGGUCAUUGGCAAACUAGCAAAGAGUCUUGAACUAUGUCCUUACUGAAAUGUCCCCCUGCCUUCUGACCCUUAGGGCCCCCAGGUGUUUCUACCAGACUCCACAUGCAGUCUCACACAAGUCUUCUCUCUGAGACCAAAUAAGUCCCACCUCAAAAGAGUUCUGCCUCAGAAGCCAGUAGCCUUGGCAUCAAGCCUCACUUUUCUUCUCUAUAUGCUUAAAAUGAUCACAUUUUUAAAGCAAACUACCAAUACGUGUCUGGCAAGCAGAAGUGUCUUUGGGGAAACUACAGGACAAGCUAUUUUAAAUCAAAGCAGUUUCAGAAAAUCUUGCAUUCUUGAUCAUUGUAUUCAUGAUUUUUACUCAAAUAUAUGUAGAUAUGCUCCUCCCUUUCCAGCCUUUUUCACUCUCAUGUAGUCAGUAUAUUAUUUCUGCCAUUCACUCAUAAUCUACUUAUUUAAUCAAUUUUCAAUAAAUAUACAUUAAGGUCACACUAUUUACCCACCACAGUCCUAGGUGCAUUGGUAGUUUGCCAUAUACCUGACAAACUCCUACUUGAUUUUUUCCAGGACUCUGCUAAAUCCUUCUGCUUCUCGUGGCAGUUCACGCAUGCUUUUAUUAAUCCUUAAUUCGACUUAAUUAUUUGUUUGCAGUCAUCUAGAUGUAAACCCCACAAGAAUGAAUAUCAGGUCUAUUGUUUAUUCUAGCUUGUACCCAGCACAGCCCCUGGUGCAAAUUAGAAGUUUUCAAUAAAUUUUUGUAGAAUAAAUUCUUUAGUAUCAAGACCUGUUUCACAUUCAAUGUUGUUUUCCCAAGUUCUGGUAUAUAGGAUUCUCAGUAAGUGUUUAAUGGAUAAAGAAUUAAUGUACCCUAACCUCUUAUUUUUAAAUAAAAAUCUUUGGACUUUUUUUUAACCUUUAUUCAGACCAUCUGUUGAGUUUCUGCCACUUAGCUUUAUAUCCUCAUACUUGUUUCUGAUACUCUUGCUUACCAGAUAAGCUUGCAUCCCCUACCUGAGCUUCCUGUCUCCAAUUAUUAGACCUCCUGUUAGUAAUCUGCAGUUCCUGUCCCAACCAUUCAAAGUUCCAUAUCUAACCUUUUCGUUCUGCCAUAUUUUACUGCUGGCCAAGUCCUGGCAUAAUGGCCUCUGUUCAUCCUGGGCUCAGACCCCCUGGCUCAGGGGGGAUAUCCUGCCCUGAAUCUUGCUACUGGUGCCUGAGUUUAAAUGAGGCAACAAAAUAGCAUUUCCAAACUAGAGAUUUUGAGUUUGGUUAGUUCUAUAUCCUGAUUGUAGUCAACAGGUUCCCUAAAAUCCUUUUACUUCAUUCGUUUCAUUUGAAAUAUCUAUCUUUCCCAUGAAAAUCGAAAGUCUGUGGAGGCGCUGACUGUGCUGUAAAUGUCUUUAUCUUUCUAUUGUCUGUUCCCUAGCUGCCAUCUUACAUCUAGCACAGUGCAUUAUUUAUGAUAAUUGUACAAUAUAUAGGAAUAGUCAAACCCAGGCAAUAAAAUAUUGUGAUAAAAUCAAGUAAUAAAAUAAAAUAGGGAAAAAUUUGGAAGAUGAUUAAGUAUUUAUUACAUAAAUUAACUACUCUCAAAUGCAUGAAUUAUUUACAAAUCCGCAUUGUUAGCAUCUAGGAUAUUGCCAUGCUUGGGAUAGGAAAUUAGUCCCAUGAGAGCCUUCCAAAACAACUGGGUCUUUUAAAUCAACUAGACUAUUAAUUAUAGAUUUUGUAUUAUAAAUUUUGAAAUACAAUUUUAGUCAGGAUGAAAUUAUCUGGAGACCUUCAGCUACUAUGGCUCUAAAAAGAUGUACGAAACUAAUAUAUAAUUUAGCUAAAGCAUAAUAUUAAAUUUUAUAUUUGUAAAAGUCUUUAUAGUUGAAUAAUCAUAAUUGAGUACAUUUCUUGUUUAAUCCUCAUGACACUACUGUGAAGUAAGUAUAUUAUCUCCAUUUUCAGGUAAGAAGCUCGGGAAUGUUCAAGUGACUUAGCCAAAAACAAAACUCAACUCUUCUGGUGUUAUCUUUUGUACUUUUUUCAAAAUAAAUACAUCAUCCUCUGUUUUGAAGCUUAGAAAUAUAUGAUUGGCUAAAUCUUUGGGUUGUUUUUUUAAUUUAGAAGAACUCUUUCUUUGGUAGAUGAAAGCCUAAUACAAAUAUAGAUUUAAUUUGGGUCCAUAUGGUUCUUGGUCUAUUUUAAUAACUUAAAAAUUAUUUUCUACACUGGGGCUGGCCCCGUGGCCGAGUGGUUAAGUUCAUGCGCUCUGCUGCGGGUGGCCCAGUGUUUCGUUGGUUUGAAUCCUGGGCACAGACAUGGCACUGCUCAUCAAACCACGCUGAGGCAGCAUCCCACAUGCCACAACUAGAAGUACCCACAACUAAGAAUAUACAACUAUGUACUUGGGGGCUUUGGGGAGAAAAAAGGAAAAAAUAAAAUCUUUAAAAAAACAUUAUUUUCUACAGUAAAUUUCUGAAUUAUUUUAAAUGCACAAUGAAGACUAUAUAGGUAUAACAACCUAUCAAAACCAAAGUAAGUAUUAGAGCUAGAAAGAUCGGAGAGUACACCUAGAUCCAGUGUGUUAAAUGACUUGCCCACGGACACUCUUUUCAUCAAGAGUCAAGAUUUGGAAAUCCAAUUUACUUAACAUCUGACACACUUCUUUACAUAAUAUUAGAAGUCACAGAAAUAAAGUAAAUCUUAAACACUGACUACAUUGGAUGCUUCAUGCCUGCCUCCACAGGUCGAUUUAUACUGAUCAAGCACUAUUCCCAACCAGCAGAGGUCAGCACCACAUGCAUUUACUGACAUUUUUAUUAACCUAAGAGGUGCCUCACAAAUAAAGUCAUAGCAGAAGGAUGGGUAAAACUCAUGGGGUAAACCUGUUUUAUUUAUCAGGUAUACAGUUAGCUUUCACGUGGAUUUUCUAAUUAUCACUUUCCAUAAUCUAUUUAUGUUCAAGAUACAUGCUUUCAUAACUUGCCUAUUAUGUAUAUCUGCAUUUGUACCUUUAACUCUCAGUGUGAAAUUCAUAUUUAUAACUAGGAAAGUGGAAGCAAAGGAAGAAAGUGAUAUAUAUUUGGAUUGCUCUGUAAUUUGUGAGGACAUUGAUAUAUACCUCCAAUUAAAAAAUGAAACCACAAAAAAUCAGUCAAUACCUGCCAACUUCAUGUUGCAGUUUGACUUUUAAAAUACUGUUUAAUCUAAAAAUAUUUUUCUUGUUCAUAGAAAGACAAUCAUGAAUCACAAUCUCACCAAUUCAUAUAUUUUAAGGGUUUGGCUAAAUGAGUGAAUAUACAUAAAGUAUAGUGAUUUUCUUGUUUGUUUUUGGCAGUGUCAAGAUUUUACAUGAAAGUUUUUUUUUGGCGGAAGAUUAGCCCUGAGCUAACUACUGCCAAUCAUCCUCCUCCUCUUUUUGCUGAGGAAGACUGGCCCUGAGCUAGCAUCCAUGCCCAUCUUCCUCUACUUUACACAUGGGAUGCCCACCACAGCAUGGCUUUUGCCAUGCAGUGCCAUGUCCGCACCCAGGAUCCGAACUGGCGAACCGCGGGCUGCCGAGAAGCAGAACAUGUGCACUUAACCACUGCACCACUGGGCCAGCCCCUCACAUGAAAGUUUUAACAUGAAGAGGCUUUGUAAGGAAAGAAGCACAAAUAAUUAUAUUUCUCCUGCAUGCCCAGCUCAUAUGUAAUUUUAUACUUGAAAGUAAAUUUAAAGAGUUUUCUAGGCCAUAUUCAUUUUAUGUCAGGAAAUGAAGACCCAAAAAGGUUAAAGGACUUUAUAUGAAUUUUCCGAAUUCCCAGAUCAUGGUAGUUUCAGAAGGUAAAAAUUAGAAUCUAUUUCUCCUAUAUUGCUAUCCUGAGUCCCUCCUGAUGCAAUGAAAAGACUCAAAGCCGAUACGCUACAUGUUAAAUUAAUCAUUCUCUAUCAUAUUAAAAAUUAUUGUAUAACCACUUCUUUGACAGUAAAAUCUACUCUUAAAAUCAAGAGCAUAGGGGCUGUCCUGGUGGCACAGUGGUUAAGUUUGCACAUUCUUCUUCAGCAGCCUGGGGUUUGCCGGUUUGGAUCCCAGGUGCAGACAUGGCACCGCUUGGCAAGCCAUGCUGUGAUAGGCGUCCCACAUAUAAAGCAGAGGAAGAUGGGCAUGGAUGUUAGCUCAGGGCCAGUCUUCCUCAGCAAAAAGACGAGGAUUGGCGGCAGAUGUUAGCUCAGGCUAAUCUUCCUCAAAAAAAAAAUCGAGUACAAACUGUAUCUUAUGAAAUACUACUUAAAAGAAAGUUGUAGUGUCUAUUAUUUUAAUAUUUAUAUUAUAGACUAUAACUUAUAAAUAUUACAUAGAAAUAAGUGGGGAUGGCUGUUCUCUUAUGUAAUCUGAUUAAUCAAUCAAUGAAACAUUAAAUAUCUUUUCAAAAUUACACUAGGAUUGGAAGACACAAUGUCCUAAAUCCUUAAAUAAAUUUAUGAUUUAUUUGGGAAGAUAGGACAGAUUUAUAAAAAUUCAUUAACUCUACAGAACUGACACGUGUCCAAUAAAUAUAAUUUGUGUUGGAGUUCAUAAGGAGGUGGAAAUAUCUUGGCAGACCUAAUCUAGGAAGAUUGGGAAGCUUAGUUAGGACUUAAGGAGACACACAUUUCAAGAGGUGAGACAUGAAGAGGGGUAGACAAAUGAAGUGAAAGACAAGAGAGGCAACCAAGCUGAAUUCUUCAGUUUGAGUUAUGUGUUUCAGAGUAAAUCAAAAUGAACCUAUUUGGAUACUUUAAACUAUUUUGUGCAGUGUAUCUUACGUCAUUCAAAGGCUAGUGUUCCCUUUUAUUUUAAGGGUCAGGGAACUUGUCUAGUUGUCAUUAUUUUACAUGAUUUCAAUAAAUAAGAGGUAUAUUAAAGAAAUUGUCUGAUGUCCUAAAGCAAAGGCAGUAUCCACUAUUCAAAACAUCAAAAUUUUUAUCCCCUGCAAACAUCCCGCAGCCUGAAAGACAGCUUAGUCCAAUAAAAUAAUUCAAAAUUUCAAAAUUUCCCAAAUAUACAUGCAGGAAAACCCACACAUAAGUGCAAGUGAGGGAGAUAUGGAUCAGUAACAUGUGAAAAAGACCUAUGACAUAAUAGUGUACUGUGGCUACCAAUAGAGUAAAUUUGAUGUAAAUAUCAUAUUUGGGAAAAUUGAAAUCACUUAUAUCUUGUAGAAGAAACUAAUGCCAUGUCUGCCUUUAGGUACGGUCGUAAAUUUUAUGUUUCAAAUAGAUAUUUACUUUUUUGAUUAUUAAGGACCAAUUAGAAUUUUUAUCUGACUCCAUUUGCCCAGCAUUGCUAUAUGAAUUUAUAAGGAAGAUUCUUUGGAAGAUUUGAGAAAUAAUUUGACAUUAAUUUUCAAUGAAAUUUUUGAAAAAUAUAAUGGAAUGGAGAUGAGACAUUCUGCGAGAUACCAUGAAAUAUUUCUUUUCCUAAAAACAUCACCAGAUUCAGAAAUAAAUUAAACUGGAUUCCUUAAACUUAGAUAUCUACCAACGCUUUUCAAAAAGAAAAAUAGACACUAAACAGACUAGUGUGUGUCGGGGAGGUGUCUUUCUAUAUGUGGGUAUAAUUGGAAAGCAUUUUAAAAAACAUUUUGCAUAAGUGAUUUUUUUUAAUGUAAUACUUUACAGUUACUACUAAAAACUAGAAGGGACAUGAAGCAAAGGAAGUUUUCAGGAGUGAAGAUCUGAAGUUCAGUUAUCUGAUAUUAAAGAAAAAAUGAAUCAGCUCAAAUUUCAUACAAAAAUUUAAUUGCAUUUCAAUUGUUCUGCUCAUAUAUAAAUCAGUCUUUCAUAAACUAAAACGAUAAUGUAACAGAAUAUGGAUUUUGACGGCAAUACAAAAUCUCGAUAUGAAAUAUAUGGAUCUGAUUCAUGCAUUACAAUUUUGAGAGCAUGGUAAAUGUUUUCUAGUGUACACAGCUACAGGAAAGUUUAAUGGUUUUGCAUUUGGAAAAAAAUUUAUGAUGAUAUGCUUUCAAGAAAUGGACUAUAUUCAAAAUAAUAAUUGAGACAUAAAUAAUCAUCAGGUGAUGCUCAUUAAGAGCUACAGUGAGGAGUGUUAGAGAGGCAGGAAGACAAGGAAAAGGAUUUUCUAAUCUGCUGUGAGUUGCAGUGCUGUCAGGUAAGUUAAUGAGACUGAGUUGUAAGGAAGUAGGAGGUAGACCUGAAAGAGAGUGGAGUCAAAAAGAAAGGAGUAAUCUUAAUUGAGAGGACAAAAUUAUUCCGUAGGGGAAACAGAGGCACAAGGAAAUCAAAACUCACUCCUGUUUACUUCAUGCAGGAUGUCACAUCACUCUAGUCUCCUUAACCAGUCAGUAAGUUUAUUCAAGCAACUGAUACAACUUUUUUCCUAAAUUUGGUCAAUCAAUUACUCUUCAACCCUAUUGCAUAGUAGGCAUGUAAUCACAGAAUUAUUUAAACUGUUAUAAAGGCGUUUGCACUUUUAUUUGGUGAUGGAAAUGGAGAUGCAUACAGAAAAUGUACUAAGUCAAAAGAGAAAAAAGUUAGUAAUUUGUUGGACCUACGAAAUGCAGAAAGUCGUUACAGGUCUUAUUUUUAGAGAAAAAUGACUGGAAUAAAAAAAGGAAAUGAACACAGGAGAGAAUUUAGUCUUUAUUCUGUUUCCCUCUAUAUUCCUCCAUUUUAGUUAGUUUUCUCUUCUUUUUAUUCUUUUCCCAUUGAUUCUACAUUGCUCAGGGUCAAUCUUCCUCACCCCCAAAAAAGAAAAUGCUUAAUUCUUAUUUUUGCCCUAGAAUCUAGAAAGUGUAAGUGUUUUUUCUCUUCAAUUAAAUGGUCCUACUUUUCACAUAGCAGUUUCCAUUAACCUGAAAUGACGAAAAGUUUUAACUUUCAUUGCAGUAAAAAGCAAGCUGUGUAAAUGAAUACAGGCUAUCACAGGACUUUCACUUCUGGGACAAAAUGGUGAAGACUUGCUUUUCCAUGCUCCUUCUCUCAAAAUACAAUGAAAUAACCUGGAACUAACUAAACAGACAAUGACAGAAGGCCUCUGAAAACUAGAAAGAAAGGAGACUGACUAGAGACCUCAGUACUUGAGAAAGAGCAGUCCUGGCCUGAUGUGGCUGUUGAGCAUGCAUUGUAUAUCUGCUUUAAACACUUACUAUGGCAAGAACAAAUGCCCUUAAGAUAAAGGUGCAACUUCCCCAGACAUUGACAUUUCCUUAAGGGUAAGAAUCUUUCCCUAGGCUAGGAACUGAUUGCUGUGCUCUCCUUCGACCACCCAUCUCAUCUGUGACCAUCCAGCUCAACACAACAGACCUGCCACCCUGCCGUAUCCACUGAGACAGCAGACCUACCCGCUGUGCAGACAGAGCAGUCUCACGACUAUUGUAAAAAGGACAUUUCAAUCAUAUGUGAAACAUCCUCUUUUGGGGUAUACAACAACUCUGUACACCCUACUUCUUUUUUUUUUUAAUUUUUUUUUUGAGAAAGAUUAGCCCGGAGCUAACUCCUGCCAAUCCUCCUUGCUUUGCUGAGGAAGACUGGCCCUGAGCUAACAUCCAUGCCAUCUUCCUUCACUUUGUAUGUCGGACACCUACUAUAGCAUGGCUUUCCAAGCGGUGGCAUGUCCGCACCCAGGAUCCGAACCAGCAAACCCCGGGCCACCAAAGUAGAACGUGCGUACUUAACUGCUGAGCCACUGGGCCCGCACCUGUACACCCUACUUCUAUGGUGCCCUUUCUUCCUUCCAGAAUAAAGGACCUUGGCCAUGGUCCUCACAUUUUAGCUCAGAAUAAACCCACCCAAAUUUUCAUUUAUAGAUUGGUUAUGGAUUAUUUUCAUUGACAGUAUAUAAAACAGAAAGCAGCCUGAUGUUACCCUCAUGAAAACAAAUAAACAAACAUUCAAACAAUCCAAGGAUGUGCUCUUCUAUAAAGAGUUUGUCCCGCUUGCAUGGGGAGGGCUAAAGAUUUUCGUAUUUGUGUUGGUGCCCAGAGUAAAUCUCUUCUGGUUUAAGGACUUGGAAGACUUUGCACCUUAAUGGCCAGCUCUCCAAAGCAAAGCCUGUCUCUUGGCAUAGCCUAUUCAUCUACACAAAGCUCACAAUAUAACCUCCCGACAAUUUUCAUAAUAUCAAACAAGACUAACAUCAGAUAUCUAAAAGAGAAAACCCACGGAUUUGUUUUUGUAUAUGAAUGAUCAACCAAAAUUACCAGACAUUUGAGGAACAUGAAUAGAAUGAAAUGGAGCAUCUAAAUUAACCAACAAAGAAAUUGACCCCAGAUGAAACCAUAAUUAAGAGAACAUAAGAAAAUGUUUUUAAAAGAUCUAAUUUGUGUAGUGGGAUAACACAUUUAAAACUAUACUCUGAUGUUCAGAGAAAUUGUGACUCCUCUAUUUUCUGUAACUGAGAUAAUAUUCUUCAAAUGUUUUCCACUCAUUGGGAAGGGGAAAACUUUGCUGAGGAAUGAGAACUUAGAUUUCUAUCACAUUAAUAGCUUCUUUUUAGUUUAAAACCAUCGCUUUCAAGUUCAUGCAAGUUUGCUCCAGUUUCACCUUUUCUCCUUUCUAGUCUCCAACAUGGUAUCUGAGGAUGUUGCAGGGCACUCACUGGAGGAGGUGUGUACUUGCUGUCUUGUGGGAUCUUGUGCUCUCUCUGGGAUUUCCCUGGACUGUGAAGUGAUGAUGGCCCUAACCCAAUUGAUCAGGUCGCACGCACCCACUUUCCUUUGAAGCGGUGACUGGCUGACUUAGGGUUUGUUCGCUCUUGGCUCAGUCAGUACUGAGGUCCCGUCUGCUGAUUUGGUCCUUGCAGCCACUUUGGAUAUUUCUGACACCAGUCAUUGAAUCUGUUCUCUUUUACUUUCUGUUUUGAAAUAAUUUCAGAUUUACAGAAAACUUGCAAAAAUUAUACAAAAAUUCCUAUAUGCUUACAAUUAGAUUCCCCAAAUUUAAUUAUUUUACUAUAUCUGCCUUUUCAUUUCCUCUCUGUGUUUAUAGGAGGGUAUAAUAACUUUUUUGUACUAUUUUUUGAUAGCAAGUUGCGUGCAUCAUUCCCAUUUACCCAAAAUACUUCAGUGUCCAUUUUUUAAAGUCAAGGAUAUUCUCUUAUAUAAUCAUAAUAAAAUUAUCAAAAUAAGUUAAUUAAGAUUGAUAUAAUACUAUAUUUAAUGUAAUAAUCUUAUUAAAAUUUCAUCAAAUUCCCACAAAUGUCCUUCCCAGCAACAAUACAAAAGUUCUGGUUCGGGAUCACACAUCCCAUUUACUUGUCAAGUCUUUUCAGUCUCCUUUAAAAUGGAACAAUUCCUCAGUCUUUCUUUGUCUUUUGUGACAUUGAUAUUUGAAAAGUACAGAGUAUUUAUUUCAUAAAAUGUCUCUCAAGGGUUUGUAUGAUGUUUCCACGUGAUUACAUUCAGGUUAUGUAAUUUUGGCGGGAACACCAUCAAUGACUACUUUUUGAUUUCUAGACGAAGCUGUUUGCCCUGCAGCAAGUAACUACAAAGUCACUUUGUGCCUGGAAAGAAACGUUCUGGCCAACAUCAUCAGCAACUUUUCUGCUUUUACACCAACCACAAAGGAAUUCAGGAAAAUUUCCAUGCUAUCAUUAAAUAUCGUGAGUCUCCAUGGAGUGAAACUCAGGCUCUUCCACUGCUUAAAGAGGGAAAUUACCUGAUUUUAUCCUGAAAAGCCUUUGCCAUAUUUGGAAAAUGGAGAUAAAGAUCCUUCUGUUCUUAUCUUUCUUUUCAGUCUAACAUUCUGCCUGAGAUAGAAACAAGAGGAAGUUGCAUCCACCAAACAAUGUAAAAUUCGAUGGUUAAAAAAAGAGAACGUGAAGGAGUUCUUAGAAAUUGAAAACAUGACUGUUGAAUUAAGAAAAAAAGAAUAAAAGAGGAAUUCAAAUAUAAAGUCCAAGAAAUAUUCCAGAAGAUAGAACAAAAUGGAACAUAUGAAGAUAGUAAAGAUGAUCUAAAGGAAAAAUUUAAUUAAUCAAUGAAGACCCAAAAGAGAGAACACAAAAGUCUAUUAACAUCCAGAGUAUCAGUGAAGUGUAAAUAAAGACAUUCUCAGGUUCGUUGCUGAAUCCUUUUCGUAAAUUCAUUGGAGACGAGGUUGGUGGAAACAUGCUAAUGCUAAAUUUCUGUGAUGCGUUCACCUGUAUGGUAAUU